UUGCGGUGGGUGCUUUGAAGCAGAAACUGGUGCCCUUGGUGCAGACAGUGUGCGUCCAAAGACUGAGGCAGAGGAACCAGCUCCCAGACAACUUGCUCCAGCGAUUGCAUGUUCAUCUAGAACUCCAGAUGACAAGACAAGUGGCUAGCUCUGGUGCAUUGGGGGCAAAAUCGAAUUCUGUUAGUCCUUUUUGUGGGCUUGUCAAUAAUAGGAGCUAGUGCUUAUGCCUACAAGACUAUAAAAGAUGACCAAAAAAGAUAUAAUGAAAGAAUGUCAGGGUUAGGGCUGACACCAGAAGAGAAAUAGAAAAGGGCGAUAUCAUCUGCUUCAGAAGGAGAGCCAGUUCCUCAAGUCAAGGUACCAAGUCACAUUCCUUUCCUGCUAAUCAGUGGAGGCACUGCUACUUUUGCUGCAGCCAGAUCCAUCUGAGCUCGGGAUGAUUAUAUCUGAAGAUCUUGGGUACUGAUUAUAUCUGCCACACAUGCGACCUCCUCUUUCAAAAGAACUGUGGUUUUCAGAUGAUCCCAAUGUCACAAAGACACUGCGAUUCAAACAGUGGAAUGGAAAAGAGAGAAGCAUCUACUUACAGCCACCAUCCUUCUAUGUCUCUGCUCAGGACCUGCCUCACACUGAGAAUGGUGCUGUGGCUGUCCUCACUGGGAAGAAGGUAUUACAGCUGGGUGUGAGAGGCAACAUGGUGAAACUUAGUUAUGGUUCUCAAAUUACCUAUGAAAAGAGCUUGACUGCAACAGGAGGUACUCCAAGAAGUCUGCCUGCCAUUGAUAGGGCUGGAGCAGAGGUGAAGAGUAGCACAACACUUUUCAGAAAGAUUGGAGACUUCAGAAUAUUACGAUUAUUGGUGGGGGCUUCCUCGGUAGUGAACUGGCCUGUUCUCUUGGCAGAAAGGCUCGAGCCAUGGGCACAGAAGUGAUUCAGCUCUUCCCUGAGAAAGGAAAUAUAGGAAAGAUCCUCCCCGAAUACCUCAGCAACUGAACCAUGGAAAAAAUCUGAUGAGAAGGGGUUAAGGUGAUGCCUAAUGCUAUUGUGCAAUCAGUUGGAGUCAGCGGUAGCAAGUUAUUCAUCAAGUUGAAAGACUGCAGUAAGGUAGAAACGGACCACAUAGUGGCAGCUGUGGGCCUAGAGGCUAAUGCUGAGUUGGUUAAGACUGGUGGGCUGGAGAUAGACUCAGAUUUUGGUGGCUUCUGGGUAAAUGCAGAACUCCAAGCACACUCCAACAUCUGGGGGGCAGGGAUGCUGAGUGUUUCUAUGAUAUAAAGUUGGGAAAGAGGCGAGUAGAACACCAUGAUCAUGCUGUUGUAAGCGGAAGAUUGGCUGGGGAAAACUUGGAGUUGUGAAGUUGUACUGGCAUCAGUCCAUGUUCUGGAGCGAUUUGGGCCCCAAUGUUGGCUAUGAAGCUAUUGGUCUUGUGGACAAUAGUUUGCCCACAGUUGGUGUUUUUGCAAAAGCAACUGCACAAGACUACCCAAAAUCUGCACAGUCAGGGACUGGUAUCUCAUCAGAGAGUGAGACAGAGCCCAAGGUCUCAGAAAUUACUAUUCCUCCCAGCACUCCUGCAGUUCCAAAGGCUCCUGUCCAAGGGGAGGACUAUGGUAAAGGCAUCAUUUUCUACCUCAGGGACAAAGUGGUCGUGGGGAUUGUACUAUGGAACAUCUUUAACGAAAUGCCAAUAGCAAGGAAGAUCAUUAAGGAUGGUGAGCAACAUGAAGAUCUCAAUGAAGUAGCCAAACUGUUCAAGAUCCAGGAAGACUGA
Carlito syrichta (Philippine tarsier) is the source of this 1771-nucleotide RNA transcript. It is a transcript of the gene named apoptosis-inducing factor 1, mitochondrial pseudogene, with no coding region annotated. The transcript has a single exon. Lineage: Eukaryota; Metazoa; Chordata; Mammalia; Primates; Tarsiidae. The record is from RefSeq and is a predicted model, not a curated record.